UAGAGUCACCUAUGGCAACACUUUAUUGAAAAAAAAGCUAUUGCAUUGGAUUUAUUUUCCCAAUUUGAAGAUUAUUCCAUUUGUUAUACUUUUUAUCAGAAGCAUAGAGAAAGAAAUUAAAUCUAAACCCUUCUUCUUUCUAUAAUGGUGAAACACUAAUUUUCUCUCUCUCUUAUUUCCCUUCUCCACCACCUCUCUUUUUUGUCCAUCGAGCACCACCAGUUUAAGGGUUUCGACAUCGAUGAUAUCAAUGAAAAACCUCAAUGAACCGCCAGUAUGUGCAAUUUCUAGCACUGCACCAUUUUCUAUGGUCCUAUGACAUUGCCUUUUCUCCUUUUCUACAGCUAAAACCCUAAUUUCAACCUCGUAUUAGAGGAGAAACACCUCCACAAGUGGCUUAUUAUACCAAAUAUCGUGUUUAAUGACUACCUCAUCUGUCCCACAGUAGAAGAAACCUAAGACACCGCCACAACCAUGGCUCAUUGUUGGCCUUGGUAGCCUUAGGAAAUGAUAUGUUGGGACUCAUCAUAAUUUAGGUUUUGAGAUGAUAGAUACUAUAGCUAAUGCUAAAAGAAUAUCCAUAGGCAGUGUUUACUUCAAAGAUCAAUUUGGAAAAGAUCAUUCCUCUUCUACUGCUGGUUGAUUGAACUUCUCAAAAAUUAUAUUGGAUUGGAAAUGAAAGACUUCUUGGAAGUUCCUUCAAUCCUUCGAACCCACUGAAAAGCUUUAUUGCUCCGUUGCCUGCACUACCUAGGUGUAUGCUGGAGAAUGUAAAUCCGAGAUUACGGACGUCGCGCUGCCCCCAGUGCAAGGAGAAGUAUGACCUUGAGUUGGCAAAACUUAUAUCUGAGUUUGAGAAUUCAUCAUAUGAAGCUAAAUUAGAAUCUCCUCGACCUCAGUUGCCUCAGUGGUUAAAAAGUGCUAAGCUAAUGAAUGAUGUAACUUCUUUGUCAUAGGAAAGUUUGAGCUUGAUAACUUAUAGAGAGAUUCCAAUGAGAUUACCAAUGAAUUGUGCAGGCUAAAAGAGGGUGAAGAUAAAGUGAAUCAGUACGUGCAUUUAUUCAACUCCAUCCUUACACCGAUAGAGAGGACUACGUGUUGGAUACUUGAGAACUACCAGAAAGAGGAUGGAUUCGAGAUUCCUAAAGUUCUAUGGUCAUACAUGAGUGGGAAGACAUUCAUUCCUUUCCAGUUAAAGAGAGCUUCAAAUGCCAAUGGUGAACAAAAUGGAGGUUCAGUAACAUUUGCAAAAGAUGACUUAAGUCAUGAAUCUUCAAAGGCCUUGUAGUGUAAUACUCUGGCAAAGCUUCUUUGAAGCAUCAGUUAUUUAGGUUGACCACAUCUGCUAUUCAGAAUAUGUUAAAGGUGUAGGUAGGAAGUUUACUUCAUUGUGCUUAUGAGUAGUGCUCUUUGUUGUCUAUAAGGAGUGUGUGGACUCCAAGUGUUGAUUUGUAUACAGAUAGUAUUAUAUUCAUGUAUACAUAUUGUGUUAACAUUUAUUAUGUAUGUAAAUAAAAAUUUACAUUAAUACAA
Molecule: long non-coding RNA, 1533 nt
Organism: Capsicum annuum
Lineage: Eukaryota; Viridiplantae; Streptophyta; Magnoliopsida; Solanales; Solanaceae
Exons: 7
Source: RefSeq, a predicted model, not a curated record